UACGGAGGGUGCGAGCGUUAUCCGGAUUUACUGGGUUUAAAGGGUGUGUAGGCGGACUUUUAAGUCAGCGGUGAAAUCCCGGGGCUCAACCCCGGAACUGCCAUUGAUACUAUUGGUCUUGAAUAUUGUGGAGGUAUGCGGAAUGUGUCAUGUAGCGGUGAAAUGCUUAGAGAUGACACAGAACACCGAUUGCGAAGGCAGCGUACUACACAAUCAUUGACGCUGAGGCACGAAAGCGUGGGGAUCAAACAGG
RNAcentral lists this ribosomal RNA (253 nucleotides) under uncultured bacterium. RNAcentral's name for it is "partial 16S ribosomal RNA". It matches the Rfam family "Bacterial small subunit ribosomal RNA", at positions 524 to 776 of the family's 1533-position model. The record is from RNAcentral.